AGAGUUUGAUCCUGGCUCAGAUUGAACGCUGGCGGAAUGCUUUACACAUGCAAGUCGAGCGGCAGCGCGGGGCAACCUGGCGGCGAGCGGCGAACGGGUGAGUAAUGCAUCGGAACAUGUCCAUUCGUGGGGGAUAGCCCGGCGAAAGCCGGAUUAAUACCGCAUACGCCCUGAGGGGGAAAGUGGGGGACCGCAAGGCCUCACGCGAUUGGGUUGGCCGAUGUCCGAUUAGCUAGUUGGCGGGGUAAGAGCCCACCAAGGCGAUGAUCGGUAGCUGGUCUGAGAGGACGACCAGCCACACUGGGACUGAGACACGGCCCAGACUCCUACGGGAGGCAGCAGUGGGGAAUUUUGGACAAUGGGCGAAAGCCUGAUCCAGCCAUGCCGCGUGCGGGAAGAAGGCCUUCGGGUUGUAAACCGCUUUUGUCAGGGAAGAAACCUCCCGAGUUAAUACCUCGGGAGGAUGACGGUACCUGAAGAAUAAGCACCGGCUAACUACGUGCCAGCAGCCGCGGUAAU
RNAcentral lists this ribosomal RNA (519 nucleotides) under uncultured soil bacterium. RNAcentral's name for it is "bacterial SSU rRNA". It matches the Rfam family "Bacterial small subunit ribosomal RNA", at positions 8 to 524 of the family's 1533-position model. The record is from RNAcentral.